Molecule: ribosomal RNA, 468 nt
Filed under: uncultured bacterium
Lineage: Bacteria
Description: partial 16S ribosomal RNA
Rfam family: Bacterial small subunit ribosomal RNA
Source: RNAcentral
GACGAACGCUGGCGGCGUGCUUAACACAUGCAAGUCGAACGGAAAGGCCCUGCUUUUGUGGGGUGCUCGAGUGGCGAACGGGUGAGUAACACGUGAGUAACCUGCCCUUGACUUUGGGAUAACUUCAGGAAACUGGGGCUAAUACCGGAUAGGAGCUCCUGCUGCAUGGUGGGGGUUGGAACGUUUCGGCGGUUGGGGAUGGACUCGCGGCUUAUCAGCUUGUUGGUGGGGUAGUGGCUUACCAAGGCUUUGACGGGUAGCCGGCAUGAGAGGGUGACCGGCCACAUUGGGACUGAGAUACGGCCCAGACUGCUACGGGAGGCAGCAGUGGGGAAUAUUGCACAAUGGGAGGAAGCCUGAUGCAGCGACGCCGCGGGCGGGAUGACGGCCUUCGGGUUGUAAACCGCUUUCGCCUGUGACGAAGCGUGAGUGACGGUAAUGGGUAAAGAAGCACCGGCUAACUACGUG